UCACCUUGUGUGAGUGUGCAUGCAUGUUUUGGUGUUUUCGGUUGAGAAUUAUGGUUAAGAACUGUGUGAAGAUGGGAAAUUUGGGAUUAGGAAGUAAAGCAUUACUCUCUUUUUUCAGGCUAUAUAGUUUAUUUUUUGAAUUGGGAAAAUAGAAACUUUGUGUUCAACUUGGUUUUGAAAGUGAUAUCUGAUUGACUUGUUGUAUUGCAUAUGUGCAUGUGCUGUUGUUUUUAUUGGUGUGAAUUGUGGUUGGCAAUUGUGAAAAGAAGGGAUCUUUGAGACUGGGAAGUGCAGUGUGUUGGAUUUAGGGGAAUCUGUGCUUGCUGGAAAUGCUGGUGCCUUCUGAUUUUCCUGGAAUGUAUUAGAAGUUGCGAUUAGGCAAUGCUGUAAACAGAGAGGAUAAUGAAGAUGCUGCUAGGCUUAAAGUGGCAAUUGCAGCUGCAGCAACAAAUGAUACUGUUGGCAGAGUGAUGUCGCUGCUGAAUGUGAGUAAUUUAACUUGUAACUCUGGUUUUCGUAAGGAGUAAAAUGCUGAAAUUUCUUCUGUUAACCAGUCUUCUUGUUUUCUUGGGGGGGCCGAUUCAGAGAGCAUUAGAACAAGAGCAAUACCUGGAGGCAGCUUUCUUACGAGAUAAUGCUGGUGCUGGUUGUUGCUGCAUCUGAUAUGUGUUUUUUCUCAAGCUAUGUUCCAUGUUUUUCUUUUUCUAAAUAGAAUGUUCACCAUGAC
This is a long non-coding RNA of Populus trichocarpa (black cottonwood), 727 nucleotides long. RefSeq lists it as uncharacterized. The transcript has 2 exons. The record is from RefSeq and is a predicted model, not a curated record. NCBI's taxonomy places the organism in Eukaryota, Viridiplantae, Streptophyta, Magnoliopsida, Malpighiales, Salicaceae.